CGUGUAGGUGGCUAAUUAAGUCAGGUGUGAAAUCCUUCCGCUUAACGGGAGGAAGUGCACUUGAAACUGCUUAGCUAGAGUACGGGAGAGGAAGGUGGAAUUCCUGGUGUAGAGGUGAAAUUCAUAGAUAUCGGGAAGAACACCGGUGGCGAAGGCGGCCUUCUGGCCCGAUACUGACGCUGAGACGCGAAAGCGUGGGGAGCAAACAGGAUUAGAUACCCUGGUAGUCCACGCCGUAAACGUUGGGCACUAGGUGUGGGAGGUUUUUAUUCCUUCUUUGCCGAAGCUAACGCAUUAAGUGCCCCGCCUGGGGAGUACGGUCGCAAGGCUAAA
This 333-nucleotide ribosomal RNA is filed under the name uncultured bacterium. Its description in RNAcentral is "bacterial SSU rRNA". It matches the Rfam family "Bacterial small subunit ribosomal RNA", at positions 568 to 898 of the family's 1533-position model. The record is from RNAcentral.